This 6349-nucleotide long non-coding RNA is filed under the name Sus scrofa (pig). RNAcentral's name for it is "lncRNA (ENSSSCG00000055341.1)". Lineage: Eukaryota; Metazoa; Chordata; Mammalia; Artiodactyla; Suidae. The record is from RNAcentral.
GAGCCAAAUUGGGGGCAUAUUCAAGUAUUUCGCACUUACUAACCUAUUUAGCUCAUGACGAUUCUAUUUAACAGGAAGAAAGAGUGGUUGAUGUUAUAGUUUUACCUGUAGUAAAAAGGUAUUAUGUAAAUUAACUUUAAAAAGUGCUCAACACAUACCAAACCAUGUGAAAUUCAGAUUAUUAAAUAUUCAUGUUUCCUUACUGUGGUACAGAGUGCGGGGAAGUAGUUGUCAAACAGUGAUGAUGUUUCCCAGUCUCCUUUCAUUUACUCUGUGUAGGACCCUGUUUCUCCUUCUUGGCCAAUAUGAGCAGAACUGGUGUGUGUCUAUUCCUGACAAGGAAUUUAAUAUGGUAAGGGCUCACCAUGUUUUGUCUUUACCUUCUGCAUCACCUGGAACCUUACGGGUGAGUCUGAGGGCUUUCCAAGAUGGAAGGAGUCUGCAUCCCUGAGCUGUUCUUUGGAGCCAAAGUGCACAGGAGGGCUGCCCCACUAGGAAUGCAACUGCCAACCCACCCUUGGUUUCUUUGUGAUAGCAUUUAGCCCACCCUGCUUGCCAUUAUUACUAUCACCAUUAGAAUUGUCCCCUUCUCAUUAACUGGUCACUUUUAAGAGCAAAGAAUGGACACUUGAAACUCCACUGUUAAAAUGAAGCCAUUCCAACCAAAGAAACUUUGCAGCUCAGGGAACUCACUGCAAUGUCUCUAAUGUCUGAAGUUUUGGUCAAAAGAAAAAAAAACAUCAUUCUGGAUGUGUUUGUUCAUUUUCUUCCCAGCCCCCUUCCAAAUAACAAAGUGAAGAGUCUAUUUCUGCUGAAGUGCUUGGAAAUGACACUCUUGUUGAAGAUUGCUGGCUUUCAGACUGUGACUCUCAGCUGAAGAUAAGGGUGGCAGUUAGGCCUGGCUGAUCAAGCUCACCUAGCCCUUAUAUCUGGGCAACAAAUGGGUCAUAAAUAAUUCGAGAACAUGUCCACAUCACUGAGCUAAGCAGAUGAGAAACUCAGACAGCAAUGUAAGUUCAUAACUUUCCAAUAUUCUCUGAAGAAAGAAAAACAGAGAAGUGAGUAGUCUUCCAUCUUUAAAAAGAGAAGUGCAUGGGGACCUAGUGUAGAAGUAAAGUUAUUAAUUUGGGCAAACAGUAGAGGAAGACCAAUGGAAGAGAAGGUAGGUGAAAAUACAGAAUAGCAAUGAAGUACAGUAAAAAUAAUUCUUACCAUACCUCACCAAUUAUGUUCCAGUGAGGCAGGAGGCUAUGCAGUCAUGAAUGUGUAGGUAAAUAGUUUGAAUAACAAGAAAAAAGGUUUGGAACUCUUGCUUUGGGAUUACAUCAGAUCCCUUUAGAGGAAGUCAAGGGCUGCUAAACUGUAGGCAGACCCAAACUGAGAUUAAAAGGAAUCAACCUGAAAUGGACAUGACCAUCACAAUUCUGUGGCUCUUUUUCAGCAACAGUGGCUGGCAUGGAGCCAAACCAAAGUGAUAGACUGAACAACGGAUGACCUGGGUCAGCACGUGGGGUGGAUGAGAACGUAGAAGGUUACAGCUGGAAGGAAAACCUCGUACAGCAGAAGGAUGCAGAGUCGAUCUAUACACUUCUGUUCAGGUUGCCAGGGGAAAUAUUGUGAAAGAAAGGGAAUAAAGGAAGAGAUUCUUCUUCUUCUUUUUUAAAUCUUUUUAGGGCCAUACCCACUGCAUACAGAAUCAGAGCUCUAGCUACCGGCCUACACCACAGCCACAGCAAUGGUGUAGGGAUCUGAGCCUCGUCUGUGACUUACACCACAGCUCACAUUAACACUGGAUCCUUAACCCAUUGAGUGAGGCCAGGGAUCAAACCUUCAUCCUCAUGGAUACUAGUCAGGCUCAUUACCACUGUGCCACAAAGGGAACUCCAGGAAGAGAUUAUUCUUUUAAAUACAAACUUGGCCUUUAAGGAUCUGGCCAUCCAGUGGGUAAAAGAACUAAUCAUUACCUUGACUAUUUCAGAGAGCAUUUGAUUCCAAGGGAAAUAAAGCCACUGACAUAACCUUAAGCUCACAGGGAAUUUACUAUAAGGGCAAGGGUAUAGCUCAUAGAACCAAAGGGCCGGAAGUAUAAUUGCUCUUCAAUAAGUUCUAGAAGCAGGAAUAGCAAUGCCCCAGGAGGAGGGUAUAGGAAAGCUCUACCUCAUCAUGUCUUAUUUUUAUUGAGUCUCUCAUAGCGUUGAGUCAUCUUUACUGGCAGUCUUGUUUCCUCUAUUCCCUGUAUCUUCUCACUGAUGCUUUAACACUUCCAGUUAAAAAUUCAACCAAAAUAAAUUAGUAUUACUAUAUACUGAUAUCAAAUACUAGGUGGCAAACAUGAUCAAUUCAGCCAUGCCAAGGAAUCAAUUCCCUCUGGGUCAGAUAUCCACCCUUCAGCCAAUGAACUACAGCCAAGUGUUUCUGUGUUAUGGUUACAUCAUUCAAAACACAAGGGGAUGCAAAUGGGGCAGAGACUGAAGAGGAAGAAAAACUGUGUUCAACAGCUCAGUCUCAGAGGGAGAAUACUGGUGAAUCUUUUAUCUGUUCCCACUGGAAAGCAGUGGGUACUUGAAGUCAACAAUUAUGCACUAUUGAUUGCACUAUGCACCAGGAAGUAGUGUGCUUUCAUGGGUGAAGUAGCUUAGACUGAGUUUCCUGAAUGUGAAGACUGAGGCAAAGACCUUGAGGCAGAUAAUUUAUUUAGGAAUGUGGUCCCCGGGAGGACAAAGGAGGGUCAAGGACAUGAAACAAGAGAGGAAAAGCCACCUGGUCAUCAAUCCUGAGAGACUUUCCAAAGAGCUUCAUGAAAUAGUUCUCAAAACUGUCUCCCCAGGGAAUAGGUGGGUGAACCAAUUUACGUAUCAGUCCUGACGCCUUCAGUCAAGAAUGGUCCCCCUCAGUACUUCCUCCACACUUCCAGGUGUGUGCACAGCACGUUUCACUCUUUAGUGACAGAGAAUCUCCAGGACAGGAAGUGAAAGGUAUUCAGUGCUUGUUUAGGUGAGAUGCUAUCAGGUUGCACCUGAUGAAUCUGGUCCAACCUGCAUGAAACUGGUUGCUGAAGCAGUAGCUACAUAAAAGUUAAGGCUAAGAGAAUUUGAAGUAGUUUAUAAUGUGGGCCCAGGACAAGAAAUGCUGAAAAGUAAAUGGACUAUGAGAUCAGGCUGAAAGAUUUGAUCUUAUCUUUAUCUGUACUGGUUCUUCAUUAAUGUGACCUUUCAUCAGUGCUUACCAUGAAUAAAGUAGGAUGCUGAGAAAUAAAGGUAGGAUAGAGAGAGGAAGAAAGAGAGAGAAAGAACACUAGAAACAAGAACCCAAAAGAGAAGAAAGGAAAUAUUUACUGGCCUCCAUUUGCUAUCAUGCAUAUUAUAUUCAGAAUCACAUUAAUUUCCCCAACGGCCUGUGGUUUGAAUAUUCAUGUUUCCAGUUAAAUAUAAACAAAGCAAAUUGCAGGUGAGUAAAUAAUGUGUACAAGUUCAUUUGACUAGAAUUAAAAUCCAGGGUCACUUCUCCACACUUUUCCUUCAAAUGUUAAUUAGACACUGCUCCUGUCUUCAAGAAAUCUGCUGUCUACCAAGGGAAAAAAAAAUAUUAAACACUAACGAUCAUGACAUUAUAGGGGAAUGAUCUGACCACUGACCAGAAGAAAGAUAAUAACUGGACUUACAUUUCUAAGAGUUGGGUGGAUAUGCUUCAAAAUAUUGAUUACACCUGUAGUUAGAUGACUGUAGGAAACCUAGGGUGCAAAGCACACAGACGAGUAUUCUUUCUUGGCUACCAUUCAACACAAUAUUUAUGAACAUUUUGAUAGGUGCAGCUAUUGUGAAUUAUAGGGAAGAGUGAGAAAGAAAGGAUAUGUUCAACUUGAUGAGCCCAGUUGAGUUGCUGCUAGGCUGGAGACCUGGCAGAAUAUCAGGACUGGGAUCUUGUAGGCAACAAACAUAGUAGAAUUAGGGUGGAGAGUCCAUAAUUAUUUACGGCAGUAAAUGGGGAAGUUAGUCAUUUACAAGGUUAAGAUUUGCUUGCUUAGACUCUGUUUUCAUAUAGAAAUUUAAUAUUUGCACUGUGCUUUACAUGUUAAUGAAAUCGAUUCCCACAAAGUUGGCUUUGGGGAUAUGCACAUAAGGAUUACUGGGGCCGCUCAAGACUGUAACUAUUGGUUUCUCAGGUGGAGUCAUGCCAAAGCAGCAUGACACAGCACAGGGAUACUAAGCCUGGGAAGAGCUCACAGCUGAGGUUAAAGAAUGCAGCCUCAUCAUGGCUUUCUCUAUGUACCUUUCUCAGAAAUAGUAUGAGCAAAGCAGAAGGCAAUAGACUUGACAGUGGGUGAUGCAGGGCAAGUUGUUGAGAGGAUGGGUUGAAAAAGCCAACCUGAGCCACAUAUUUCUGUAGAUAGAUGGUGAGAACCAUUGAUCAAAGAUUUUUUCCUCUCCAAGCUCCCAAACCUAUAGUCAUAAACGCAAAUACACACACAGAACACAAGACACAUGGAGACACACAUUUAAAUAAGAACUUUGACAAACAGAGACAUAGAACACUGUAGAGAUGGAAAUUCUCUGUUGGUAGACAUCCAUUGUUCUUGGGACCAAUGAGAGCUACCAUUAAUCAGUCCUGGUGACAAACCAGGCUUUUCUUCCACUUAAUGUUCAAAACAACUCUUUGAGGUGAGUAUUUAUUAUGCUCAUUUCACAGAUGAGGAAGCUUCAGCUCAGGGAGAUUAAAUAACUUGCCCAAAGCCCUCAGCUGGUAAAUGAUAAGACCGAAAUUCAAUUCAUGUCUCUCUGAUUGAGAGCUCAGAUUUUCCCAGUGUGUACAACUGCAAUCCCCUUUCUGACCCUGCCUUACAUUGGUGUACUGAAGAGAUUUAAAAUUGAUCUAUUAGUUUGUCUGUUCUGUUUCACCAGACGGUAAAAAUCUCUACCUUCAACCAUAAUGCCAGAUCAAGACUGAAAAUUGAAAAAUCUCUAUAUAUUUUUCACCUAAUUUCUUACUUCCUUCUAUUUUAUGUUUAUAUUAGUUACUCUUAAAGGAUUAUAAGCUAAUUUUUUGAAACAUGGAUCAUGGUACCACUGCCCUAAAUUUUUCAUUCAUUUAUUCCACAAACAUUUAUUAUAUUCAGCAUUGUACCAGAUGCCUAGGACACACAAUGAAUGGGUCCCUAAUUCCAAGGAGUUGAUUGUACAAAUAAGCCAAAAAGAAAAGGAGACAGAAAAAGAUGCAAACCAGAAAGAGUGUGAUAAAUAUCACAUUAACAGUCCAUACAGUGUAUUAUAAGAGCACAGAAAUCCCUGCUAAACCAAAAAAAGAUACCUUACGGAGUUGACUAAAAAAGUUUUUUGGACUUAGCAAGUAGAAGGAAUGAUCUGUUAUUCUUUGAGAUGGGAAGGUGGCAGAACAGAGCAGGUCGUGACGGUGGGUGAGGUGGAAAGAUAACUUACAUGUUCAGCUUGAGUUGUCUAUAAGACUUCCAAAUAAAGAAGUAAAACAGUUGAAUAUUGAAUCUAGGAGUUGGGAGAGCGAUCUUGACUCUUCAUCACCUUGAUUUUGUUUAAAGCCUGAUAUUGGAUGAGACCAUCAAGGGCAUAAAUGGAUAAGGAAAGAGAGGAAAGGACCACACUGAGCCUGGGGUAGCCCCUGAGGGAGAGGUCAUGAAGACAAGGCACCAACAAAGGAGACCAAGAAAAAACUACCAGCAAAGCAGGAAGAAACUCAGUUAGAGCCCUGGAAAAACCUAAAGAACAUGUAUCUAAGAGAAACAAAUCACCAGUGUCAAAUGUGGCCUAUGAAUCAAGUAAGAGGAAGAUUGAGAACUGACUACUGGACUUAGCAGUUUGGAGGUCAGUUGUGACCUUCAAUUUCCAUAGAGCAGUGUGGAGAAAUCCUGCUUAGGGUGUUUUUAUAGAAAAGGAGGAGAGAAAUGGAAAACACUGAGAAGAGACAAAUCUUUCAAAGUUUGAUGUAAAGGGGAUGACAGAAACGGGAUGAAGACUCACAGAAGCAGAGUCAAGUGAUCAUUUUAAUACAGAAAAAUAAUACAUGAUGCUAUAUUGAUUGGAAUGAUCCAGUAGAGAGGAAUUCUUAUUGAAUAUGUAAAAAAUAGAGGAACAAAUUGGCAAAGUAAGUUCCUUUCUAGGAGAUGUGUACAGAGACAUGAUAUGAUGAGUUUCUGUUUGCUUUACUAAAGAUGGAGAAGGAAACCAGUUUAUUUGGCACCUGCCAUAUACUAGCACCAUGCAACUGCACCAUUCACUCUUCCAAACGAUAUUUUACAGCAGCUCUCUCAGACUGUCCCUGAAGCUCAGAAAGAUUAAAUAUCUUGAUCUAGUGAACAGCAGAGCCAGAACUUGAAUCCUCA